Molecule: ribosomal RNA, 685 nt
Filed under: Listeria monocytogenes
Lineage: Bacteria; Bacillati; Bacillota; Bacilli; Caryophanales; Listeriaceae
Description: bacterial SSU rRNA
Rfam family: Bacterial small subunit ribosomal RNA
Source: RNAcentral
ACGCAUUAAGCACUCCGCCUGGGGAGUACGACCGCAAGGUUGAAACUCAAAGGAAUUGACGGGGGCCCGCACAAGCGGUGGAGCAUGUGGUUUAAUUCGAAGCAACGCGAAGAACCUUACCAGGUCUUGACAUCCUUUGACCACUCUGGAGACAGAGCUUUCCCUUCGGGGACAAAGUGACAGGUGGUGCAUGGUUGUCGUCAGCUCGUGUCGUGAGAUGUUGGGUUAAGUCCCGCAACGAGCGCAACCCUUGAUUUUAGUUGCCAGCAUUUAGUUGGGCACUCUAAAGUGACUGCCGGUGCAAGCCGGAGGAAGGUGGGGAUGACGUCAAAUCAUCAUGCCCCUUAUGACCUGGGCUACACACGUGCUACAAUGGAUAGUACAAAGGGUCGCGAAGCCGCGAGGUGGAGCUAAUCCCAUAAAACUAUUCUCAGUUCGGAUUGUAGGCUGCAACUCGCCUACAUGAAGCCGGAAUCGCUAGUAAUCGUGGAUCAGCAUGCCACGGUGAAUACGUUCCCGGGCCUUGUACACACCGCCCGUCACACCACGAGAGUUUGUAACACCCGAAGUCGGUAGGGUAACCUUUAUGGAGCCAGCCGCCGAAGGUGGGACAGAUAAUUGGGGUGAAGUCGUAACAAGGUAGCCGUAUCGGAAGGUGCGGCUGGAUCACCUCCUUUCUAAGGAA